This is a non-coding RNA of Otolemur garnettii (small-eared galago), 293 nucleotides long. NCBI's taxonomy places the organism in Eukaryota, Metazoa, Chordata, Mammalia, Primates, Galagidae. The record is from Rfam.
GCCAGGCGUUGUGGCUGGUGCCUGUGGUCCCAGCUACUUGGGAGGCUGAGGCAGGAGACUCGCUUGAUCCCAGGAGUUGGAGGUUGCUGUGAGCUGUGAUGCCAUGGCACUCUACCCAAGGGGAUAGCUUGAGGCUCCGUCUCAAAAAAAAAAAAAAGUUAGACCAACCAUGGACUUUUUUUUGUUUGUUUGUUUGAGACGGAGCCUCAAGCUGCCACCCUGGGUAGAGUGCCGUUGCAUCACAGCUCACAGUAACCUCCAACACCUGGGCUCAAGCGAUUCUCCUGCCUCUG